GCGCCCGUAGCUCAGCUGGAUAGAGCGUUUGCCUCCGGAGCAAAAGGUCGGUGGUUCGACUCCACUCGGGCGUACCA
RNAcentral lists this transfer RNA (77 nucleotides) under Acidobacteriota bacterium. RNAcentral's name for it is "Acidobacteria bacterium tRNA-Arg". It matches the Rfam family "tRNA". Rfam says of the family: Transfer RNA (tRNA) molecules are approximately 80 nucleotides in length. Lineage: Bacteria; Pseudomonadati; Acidobacteriota. The record is from RNAcentral.